CAAGUUAUACGUUGUUCAACAUUCUGCCUCACACAUAUCAAAUUUCAAAACUGAUAAGCAUAAGCAUGGCUCUGCACGGUUUUAUUGGGACUCAAAUAGAACUCAAGUCACCUGCUGAUAAGUUCUACAAAAUCUUCAAGGGCCAAGCCCACCUCAUCCCAAAUGUUUCUUCUGGCCAUAUCAAAGGCGUUCAGGUGCAUGAAGGAGAUUGGGAAACGCACGGCUCUGUUAAGAUCUGGAAUUAUCAUCUAGGUAAUUAAGUAACUAUAUGGUGAACCCACUUAGGACAAGUUUAAUUAUUUUCCGUUUCGCUGUUAACUAUAUCAUAUGGGUAUGAAAAAGACAUCAUUAGAUGAGCUUAUAUAUAUAUUUUUUGUUAUGAAAUAAAUGUGACAGGGGACGAAGUUGGGACUUUCAAGGAAAAGGUCGAGUACGACGACGAGAACAAGGCGGCAACUCUGACUGGAUUGGACGGAGAAAUGUUCAAGUAUUACAAGAGCUUUAAGGGCAUCUAUCAGUUCGCUCAAAAGGGUAAUGUUAGUGUUGCCAACCUGACGAUUCACUAUGAGAAACGGAAUGCUGAUGUUGAAGCUCCAGAUAGAUUUGUUGGUCUCAUGGUUACCCUCGUCAGGGAUCUUGAUGCUCACUUUGCCAAGGCAUAAUCGAAUAUCAAAAGCAUACAUAUGUUAAUGCGUGCUUUUUCUGGUUAAUAUUAUAAGUAAUGCUUUGUUUUAUGUAAGUUUUUCUUUGUGGCAAGUGCAUGAAGGGAUUUCAUAUGUGAUAUAUUGUGAUGUAUUAGCUAUGUGGGUUAUCACAUACAUAAAAUAAAAUGCGUGGUGUGCUAUAUAUAUAUAUCUCCAGUUCUUGCUCAUCAUUCACAUAUCAAGUACAAAAUAGACUUAAAAAUCAACAAUAUCCAACUGGUAUAUGUUGCGCGCUUGGAUUCAAAGUACUUAAAAGAUCAAAAAAUUUGAAGUAUGUUGCGUGCUUGGAUUCGAAUUUUACAUUGAACACUUAGCCUUGUUGAUGAAAAAGAAACAAGCUAAAAGUAGUAAAAACGUAGUAGAAGCAGCUGGAAGCUCUUUCCUUCAUCAUUUGCACUCUCCUUUUCCCUCUUCAUCUCUCUCCUUCUUUAUCUCUCUGCCCUUCUUCCUUGUGAAUUUGCUGGUUUACUUUAAUAUUAACGAAUCUACAUAAAGAAAAGAAGGUGUUGCUGGAUGCGACGAAUGAAGGAUAGAUUCCACAAAAAAAAAAAGUUUUCACGUUCUUCCAUUCCAUAAGCAACACUGAAAAAUGCUCUAAUAAUUUUUGGACGAAACUCUCAUGACAACUUAAUCCAAAGCGUUCUUCCAUUCCAUAAGCAAUACUGAAAAAUGCCCUAAUAAUGUAUGGACGAAACUCUCAUGACAACUUCAUCCAAAGCAAACACAACUCAACCCAGCCGGCAGUGCAAUAAGCACCCAACCCAACCAGUCAAACCCUAAACCAGCACAGCAUCCUUCCCCUCAAAACCCACGACGUAAGUAACGUAAUUAAAUUCAUCUCUGUUGAUUAAUGGGAAGCGUAGGUCUUGCUUGCUGGAGGAUGGGAACAACACACACACACACACCAUUUCUAUAUUUAAUUAAUUUGGUCAUUAUUCAGUUGAAUAGCCCAUUUACAAAUAAUAAUAAUUUGACAGAUAAUGUGAAUUUGGAAACUAAAUUAUUGAUCUUUUAAAUACAUUAAUUUAUUUUUUUAUAUAAAAAAUAAAUAAAGGCAAGUGCAAAAGGUAUCUAUCAUUCUCGAAGUUUUUUACGCCACCUGCCUUAUUAGUGCAAAAGGUAAUUUUAAAAUUUGGAAAUGGGAGUCGGUGUGACUUUUGAAGAAAGAACGAAAACCCAAAGGGGAAAAAGUUAUACAUUAUUAUAUGCGUACCAUAAAUAAUGCAUGUGUGACUGAUCAAUCGAAGAUCUAAAAUGUUUAUUUUAUUAAAGAGUUGUCGAAUUUGACAAGUGUGGAUCAUCCCUGUCUGCCCAUUUGAUAAUUUCUUAUUGCCAAAUAGUUAAUAAGCAUGGGCUGGGAUAGGUCUGCAUAAUUAGAUUUGAUGAGGAUGAAAGCAAUAAUUGAGUUUUCGUUGAUUUUACAUCUCAGAAAGGUUACUCAUCUCUCGUAGUUUUUGCACUUUUAUAAAUGUGAAUCUUAUAAAGUAUUAUAACUCAUAACCAUUUUUCUUUUGUAGGCUUGAAGAUCUGGCAUUGCAUGCAUGAACACAUUUUCCGAUGUGUAUAUGAAUUGAAGAUCUCGCGUUGCAUGCAUGUACACUAACUAUGAAUUGAGAGAGUUUUUCUUCGGACAGUUGUCCAGCAUUCACUUUACCUAAUCAGGGAUUAGUAAAAUCCAAAUGAAAAAGAUGUGAUCAUUGAAAAGGUAAAUAUUUUUUAUUCUAAAAGUUCAAAUGAUUAGUUGAGAUAUAACCAUAUCAAAUACAAUAUUUUUCCCUAAUAGAAGAUUAGGGCUAAUAUUUGUCCUGCACCCGGUGAUGAACCGAAAGUAAUUGCACUUGUUCAUGGAUGUUGACAGCUAGCAAUAACACUCUUCUUACCAAAAAUAUUUAUAAAAAGAAAAAAGGUCUGUUUUUAUAUAAAAUCAACGACGGUUUUUACAAAAAAAAUCGUCAUCUUUAUAUUAAAAUAAUGACUGUUAUUAAUAAAAUCGUCGUCUUUACAAAUAAACAAUAACAGUGAAAACUCGUCAUAAUUGAUGUCAGUCGAUUUAACAACGGUUUUCAAAACAUCAUAACGACCGUGAAUCCUGUCGUCUAUUUCGUUUUGUUUACUUGAAAACUUGAAAUACCAUGUAAAAGAGCGAUAGGCAAACCUUUAUUUGGUCGUAUAUACAUAUUGCAAUUAGUGGCGGAUUCGGGAUUCAAAAGUCAAAUAGGCGAAACUUACCUUAAAAACUUGACGGUACGAGUGAAUUUUAUGCAUAAAAAUAAAAAGAUACACCUAAUCAGGGAGGACGUAAUGAGCCUUACCCUCAAAUAUGCAUAUCUAUACAUAAAUAAAAGCUUAACAAAAAAAGAAGAAGUAAAUGCAAUGCAACACAAAACAAAACUAUUUAAAUCUAAAACUUUACCCUACGAGGCUUAGAAAUCUUAAAUUCCUCAAUUAUAUCUUCAUUAUCAAUAUUAUUAACAAACUCUCUUUCAAUGUGGAGAAUCAUGCAAUCAGCAAGGAAUUCAUCAGCUAUGGUGCUCCGAAGUCUAUUCUUAAUAAUUCUCAUACAUGAAAAAGCUCGUUCUGUUGUUGCUGUAGAAACAGGAAGAGUCAACACCAAUUGAAUCAACCUAUAAAGCAAAUGAUAGUUUUUUGCCAAAGUUGUUUCCGCCAAUUGUUGACAUAACUGAGGAAGAGUGGUGAGGUCCUUAAAGCAGGGAAGGCGAUGCAUAUCAUUUUGAAAAUACCUCAACUCAAUUUUUAAAGUUUUCAAGUCACUUGGACAGAAAUCAGCGGGAUAAAAUUUCUUAGCAAGUUUACAUAGAUGCCCAAUAGUGAAUGAUUUGAAGGAAUUACAAGGAUCCAAUGCUGAGUUAAGAAUAAGAAGUUCAAUUGUUUGCUUUAGAAAUCUGUCAUUUAACUCCCUCAACAUGCAAUCUAUCACAUCAUUAAAUACAUCAACGCGAUAGUAAUGUUCAACUAUAAUAAAAUCUUUUUGUUGACAAGAACGACGUGUAGCCAUCAUAUAACGAAAACUCAUAUUAGGAACAUCAAUACUGUGUUGUUCACAAAAUGAUACCACACUCAUGAAUAAAUCAUCCCAACCAUGUGCUCUCAUAUCUCAUAACUGUGAUUUUGUGUUUUCAACAAAGUUUAAAGCACUUACAAUAUCUUGAGUUUUUGUUUGAAACACUUGACAAAGAAAGUUGGUCAAUCCCAUAAUUUUAUCCAUUAAAAGAAAUGAAAACACAAACUCAAAAGACAUAAUAGCAAUAUAGUUAUUCUCUGCAUUGCCACGAAAUUGUUGGUUAGGUCCAUAAUCACUGAAUUCCUGGAUAAGUGUUUUAGUCUUUUUAAAUAAACUCAUCAAACUUGUAAUAGAGGCAAAGUGAGAUCCCCAACGAGUGGCUCCAGCUCGUUUCAAACUACGACCUUGAUUAAGUCCUCUACUUGUCUCAAGUUCCCCACAAUCCAACAACUCUUUGAGUUUAGCUUUUUGAAUUAAAUUAGCUCAUUACGGCGCUUAGCAGAAGCACUAACAAAAUUCACAAUGUUAGUCAACAUUGAAUACAACUUUCACAUACUUAUAUUGCUUUUUAUUGUUUUUCUUAAAGGAGAAAGUUUGAGUGGGCUGGGCUAUUGUUUUUGUUAAAGGGAAAAAUUUGAGUGGGUUGAGUUUGAGUAGGGAGAAGAAAUUUGAUUGUAUUGGGUAAUUUUUGGUUUGGCAAAAAAUGGAGUAAGCGGCUGCCUAUUCUGCCCUUAGGGUAGGACCACCCUUGGUGGAUUGAGUUUGAGUAGGCAAAAGAAAUUUGAUUAUAUUGGAUGUUGGGUAAUUUUUGAUUUGGUAAAAAAUGAAUUAGGCCGCUGCCUACCCUGCCCUUAGGAUAGGACCGCCCCUUGCAAUUAUUACGUUAAUAUGAAUUCAUAUAAAAUAUAUUUUCAAUAAUUUAUAUAAAAUAAUUGUGUUGAUGUGUUUCAUGUGAUUCAUGAAGUAUGCAUGUUUCAAGCACUAUAUUUUUAAAGUUAUCCAAUAAAUUAAUAAAUAUUGCACCAUUUAGGUGUCGUCACUCAGACUCUCACUUGUAUUUAAGGGGAGCCCAAAUUAUGUUCAUUAACAUUCUGCCUUGUACACACGUCGAUCGCUACUUAUACUUAAUUCUGAGUAUCAUCACAACAACAACUGAUAGACAUGGCGCCUCUGAAAGGUAAGGUUGAGACUGAAAUAGAAAUUAAGGCACCAGCUGAGAAGUUCUACAACAUCUUCAACAGCCGGGCACACCACGUCCCAAACAUUUCUCCUGGCAGCAUUCAAGGAGUUCAGGUGCAUGAAGGAGACUGGAAAACACAUGGCUCUAUUAAGAGUUGGAAUUACACAGUUGGUAAGGUCAUCUAUAUACAUGUUACAUGUAGCGAGUGUACAUCUUUAAUUCCCUACCUAACAAAAUACAAUUAUGUCUUGUGAAAUAGGGGACGAAGUCGGGGUAUUCAAGGAAAAGGUGGAGUACAACGAUGAGAACAAGUCCAUAACUCUGAAUGGGGUGGAAGGAGAUGUCUUCAAGUAUUUCAAAAGCUUUAAGCCUGUCUAUCAAUUCACUCAAAAGGAUGAAGGCAGCAUUGCGACCUUGUCGAUUGCAUAUGAGAAAUUGAAUGACAAUGUUGCAGCUCCAGACAAGUACGUUGGUUUGAUGGUAAAUAUUGUCAAGGAUCUUGAUGCUCACUUUAUCAAGGCAUGAGGAAAAACAUGCAACGGUGAAAAGAGCUACGUACUGCUUGCUGGUUCAUCGUUAAAGUUCAUGAAUUAUAUUAUCGUGUUAAUUAAUGCGUGCUUUGUUUAAUUACAAGUAGUUAAAAAAUGCUUUGCUAUGUAUUUGUGUCAAGGGGAUGUCAUAUGUGAUAUUGUGAUGUAUUAACUAUGGUUAUCACAUAUAUAAAAUAAAAUGAGUGGUGUGCUGAUGUGUCCAGUUUUUGCUCAUCAUUCGUUAUAUCAACCACAAAUAGCCUUAAUACUUAACAAUUAUAACAAGUUACAACCCAACUGGUUUGGACGAAAAUGUUCAAUUAACUAUUUACCCCAAAAGAUAAAAACUAAAAAUAUUUAAUGUGAUAGGAACUUCCAUUACUUCGGUUUGCCAAAAUACAAUUGAUGUUUCAACAAAAGAAAAGAUUGAUUGAUGUUAUAGUCUGAUAACUAUGGUUAUCACAUAUACAAAAUAACAUGAGUGGUGUGAUGCGUCCAGUUUUUGCUCACCAUUCGUUAUAUCAAACUACAAAUAGCCUUAAUACUUAACAAUUGAAAAACAUUGAAAAAAAAAGAUUGGGGAUAAUUAUUGGACAAAGCCAAAGCUGAAUUGCGGAGAAGUCUUCCAAUUUUAGUUUGCAGUUUCCAUCUAAUGCAUUUUUUAUUUGCUUCAUGGUGUGACUGGCACUCAAAUAGAGCCUCCAUAAGUUCUAAGACUCGGUUGAAAUAUCCCAUUUUGCAUGUAAUGUCUACAACACAUUGUGGCGUUAAUUAGUUGGAUUGAUCUAAGUUUUUGUGUACUCCCAAACAGUCAUGAGUUUAAAUUCUUAAUUGUAAUUGUGUGUGUAAGUUUCCCCCUCUCCAAUGGCAGAGUCAGAAAAUCUAUCAAAAGAGGUCAACCUCAAAUGACAAGAUUAACACAAAAAAAAAAAAAAAAAAUCAUCUGAUAAUAAAAUCCUUUGUAUUAAUUUCUAUAUCAUUCCAAAAUAUUUACAACAGAGCAUAGGUUGUACAUCUUCAAUUUGAAUUGUCAUGCUUUUGAGUUUGUUUUCUAGGGUAAGAUGUCAUGCUUUUAGAUUUAGGUAAGUAGGUUAAUAAUUAUUAAGUUAUUACAAAUAAAGAAAUAAUUAAAAGGGUAAGUAGCAUAAGUUUGGGACAUGGGACACAAAAUAUUUCAUCUUUAUUUUUAUAGUUUUUUCGCCAAGUAAGAUGGUGAGAAGGGUCAAAUUUCAGAAAUACUGUAUAAAAAAAUCAAGUACAAACAUGUAAAAGAUCAAAUAUGCAAAACAUGAGAAGGGUCAUUUGACCACUGUGUUGAUGUGAGUCUCCUAAUUAAUCAAUGAGAUUUUAUUUCCUUGAUUAAUUAAGGAAUUUACUUUUUUAUUUUAUAUAGUUAAUUGUAUAAUUAGGAGAUACUAUCCUAAUUGAUUACUGUAUCUAUUUCCUUGUAAAACACUCAUGUAAAUUCAUAUAUACCUCCUUAUGGAGAAGAAUAAAACUUAACAUAAAGUUUUCAAACUAUAUUCAUAUUUUAGCAUGAUAUCAGAGGAAUCGAUCAUAGGUUGUCUCUAAACCUUCAUAUAAUUUCUCAUAUUCAAAUCCAAAACCCUAAAUCAAAUUCCUCACAACCAAAUCCCUCAACUCUAAAGUCCUCAAAUCCUCUUAUCAAAAUUCCUAAACACAUACCCUCAAACCUCUCAAAUCAAAUUCCUAUAUAAAAUUCAUACGUAAUAUUCCUCAAAUCAUAUUCCUUCAAUCAAAUUCCCCAAUCAAAUUCCUCUCAUUCUCAUAUUACAUCUUACUUUCGCUGAAUUGUCAGGACCCCCUACGAUUCUGUCCCUUAUUGUAGACUCACAUAAGCAUGCGAUCAAUCCUACUAACCCGACUACCCGGACUCGUGCUUCUAUCGCCAUCCCGAAAGGUUUUGGUUUUCAUACGUACUCUCAAAAAUCCGCAUGGAUUAUUGACUUGGGUGCUACGGAUCACAUGACAUUUGAUCCUGGCCAACUUAUUAGUCAUAAAUCAUUCACUCUAUCGGUGGUGUCUAAUGCUAAUGGUACCUCUUCCUCUAUGGUUGGGGAGAGCUCUCUAUCUCUCUCUACUUCCCUACAUCUGGAUUCUGUAUUAUGUACCAUCCCACAUCUACUAACGGAGAGGGAGUGAUGUGCCUUAUAUGUACAUGCCCACCUCCAUCUAGCACGAGGCAUUUUGGGAGCUCAUUGGCUUCGGAGUCAUGAGAACUCCGAAGUUAAGCGACUUGGGGCUAGAGCAAUCCCAGAAUGGGUGACCCACUGAGAAGUUGCUCGUGACAAUUAAUUGUUCCAUCCUUGGACCACAACUUAUUGUCUGUUGCACAACUUACUACUACUCUAGGGUGUACUGUAAUAUUUUGGUCGAAUGAUUGUGUUUUUCAAGACAUCCUCAUGGGAAAGACGAUUGGUUAUGGUACUCGGUGGGGCAAACUGUAACACCCCGACUCCAAAUUAAAUUCCCUAUUUAAAUUAUUUAAUUUAAUUACAUAUGAAAUUACGAAUUUACCCUUGGGGUAGGGGUAUUUUGGUUAUUUUCUUAUACAAAGAGAUUUUGGGGGUAACAAAUGGUAUUUUUAGGUAGAUCGUACUGAGAUGAGUCUGUAGACACGUAGUGGACUCGAAUCGGAGUUGUAACGAAGAAGUUACGAUCAAAACAAGUUCAAUGGUAUAACCGUAAUUUCCUCGAAGUUGGUUUGAUAAAAAUCUGAUUUUUGUCUCUCUCUCUCUCUCUCUCUCUCUCUCUCUCUCUCUCUCUCUCUCUCUCUCUCUCUCUCUCUCCAGUGCGAAUCCCCCUUCCGCGUCAAACAACAGCAGCGGUUUUUCCACCACCAUUGCUGCCACACGCCACCAUUUGAGGUGGCACUAGUCCUAAAACGACCGGCUGGUCUUCCUCUUUCAACCCUAGCCAAGCCCCGCUACCAGCAGCCGCGCGAUUCUCCAGAAUCUACAGAAAUAGCGUCGGUUUUUCUAAAAAUUUAAAUCGCUCAUUCUCUCUCAAUUCUCCACCAAUUUUGUCGUGUAAGGUAUAGAUUUCCACCUAUUGUCCAUGAUCUAGCUGAUGGUUAGGUAUGAAUUUAUCAAUUUUGAGCCUACGUAGUUUGAUUUUCGAAUUGGAUUUCGGCCAAUUUUGGGAUCACGAUUUUAGCCACUUCCGGUCACUUUUUGGAGUAGGCCCAAGAACAAAAGUGACUCUAAAUAGGGUGUUAUACCUAGAGUAGGAGUCUUGAGCCGUAAUUUUGAAUAUUUCUGGUAAAUCAUUAUCGCUUUGGACACCCACGCACUGUUGGUACGUGUGGCGCGCGUGGGCAAUGUAGCAAAAUGGGCAUUAUGUCCCGAUGUGAUCUCCUGGUACUCACGAGCGCGUAAGUACUUUCGGAUUCCAAUUUGAUUAACGUUUGAACAUCGAACGAAUUUCGCCUAUUGUGCAUUAUCACGGUUCGAUAUGUUCGAAUUGUUGGAUCGUCUCAAAUUUAAUAUAUGUUACUCUAGACUUUCCUAGGAUCGUGUAAGAAUUCGCAGAUCAUGAAUCGGAGUCCCGGAUGUUCCGAUUCAAUAACUUAAAGUUUGCAUUUUACGAUAAACGUCCGAUCGUGAGCGAUCAAACCGUCCGUUUUGGACCAAAUUUACAAGACGUGUGUUCUAAACCUUGUGAACCUUUAGGAACUUAUUGUCUCGUUCCUCAUACACUCACUAGAAACCCUGGAAACUAGGAUUUUAAUUCAAUGUUAUCGUUCAAAACGCUUUGUGUUAAUCUCGUAUUCGUAUUCUGAAAUAGGUACUCCGACCACGUAUACGCAGCAGGCGGGACCCUCUCAGGGUCAAGUAGCGUGGGACUACCUGUGAGUGGACUUUGUUUUCAAAUCUUAUGCAUGAUUUUAUGAUGGGAGAAAGUAUGCAUAGUGUUUUAAUGGUGUAUUGGAUAUAUUAUUUAUUCAAUUGUUGAAAUUGAUAUUUUUAUGACGCAUUGGCAAUAUAUUUUGGGUUUUGACAUAUUUGAGUAUCUUGAGUAUGUAUAUAUGGAUUUUGAGAAAUUCUAUCUAUAAUUGUCUAUGUGUGGGGUAUUUGGGUUGUUGAGAUGAGAUUGUAGAAAGAAUUGAGUAUAGAAUGUCAAUUUGGAAUCCUAUAAGCACUACCCUAUGUACCUCCCUGAAUUUGGAACUUGGAUACGGAAACUUGAGAUACUUGGAAAUGUUGGAACCCGGGGCAUCCUUGACGGGGUGUUGCUGUGGACCCUUGAUUGGGUAGUUUGCGCGCGUAGGACUGGUCACAGACGUACCAGUUUUGAAGGUGUCGGCCGCACGUGCUGGCUGAGAGUUAGUCCCCUAGUUGGACGGCUCAUUCCCUAGCCACAUGGUCAAUUGAUGAAUUAUUUUAUGUGGGCUCUUCCAUGUGGACUAGUCAAACAAUCCCCCGGUUGGAUUGUUUUCCCGGUACAACUAGGUGAUUGUCAUAUUUAUAUUAUAUAUAUAUAUACAACUAUUCAUUUGUUCUUGUUUCUCGAUGAGGAUACUUCCUUACCGGUCGUGCCAAUGGGUACGCUUUCAAGAGUUUAGUUUUUGGGACUUAUUAUAUUUAAGUGGUGGGUUUGUAAAGUGUUCUUUAUGGAUUUCAGACUUGGCAUCCGGUAUUGAUUUAACUUGAUAUGUAUAUACUUGACUAUGAUGGUUUUGGGAUGCAUUUGGAUUUCUUUCAUGGUUUUCUAAAUGGUGGGGGUUAUAUUAUGUUGGUUUACACUGAACUGAACUUUAUUUUUGUCCACUCACAGUUUUCUGUUUUGCGCCCCCCAGCCAGUAGUUGAUUGAGCUCCACAGCCGAGCCGGAUUGUGUGCUUCUAAAUCUUGAGUCUUCGUAGGACUCUUUCAUCAUGUUAUUCCCGUUGAACUUUGUUUUUGUUGUAAUCAAAUUUUCUUAGAUAUGCUCUGUUAUCGCCCGUGCUAGGGUUUGAUUUUUGAGGCCGGAGGCCUUUGUUGUAAACUGUUUAUUCGCCUUAAAGCAUGUUGCUGGUUGGGAUAUCAAAUUGUGAAUUUUGAGCAGGUUGAAAUUUGGGAAAUGUUCAAUUUGCAGGGGCGACUCUGUCAAAAUUUUGGUAGGAAGUCUCUGUCUUUAGUAAGUGGGCCCGACAUCUGGGUGAUAUCGAAAAUAAGUGGGCCCGACAUCAGAGGAAAUCCGGGGUGUGUCCUGUCACAAACUCUACUACUUGGACUGGGCGCCGGAUAGUGUGACCAAGAUUGGUCAAGCUUUCACAACUAGUGGAACUCAUUCUGAGGGGGAGAGAGAUAAAGUUUGGUUAUGGCAUAAACGUCUUGGGCAUGCCUUGUUCUGUUAUCUUAAGAAGUUGUUUCCAUAAUUAUUUUUCAGUCUUGAUGUUCCUAACUUCCAGUCUGAUAUGUGUGAAUUGACUAAGAGCCAUCGUGUCCCGUUCCCAUUAAGUUCACAUAAAAGUUUGAUUCCGUUUUCUCUUAUUCAUUCUGAUAUUCGGGGACCUGCUAAAAUUGCCACUCUAGUAGGAGCCCGAUGGUUUGUCACGUUUAUAGAUGAUUGCACACGCAUGAUUUGAGUUUCCCAUCUCAAAACUAAAGAGGAAGUAAGUUUCAGGUUUCAACAGUUCCAUCAAAUAGUGUUUCAUGCUAGAAUUUAGGUUUUUCGUUCUGACAAUGGAGAAGAAUUUCUUAACCAUGAUCUUAACCAAUUCUUACAAGAUCAUGACAUCAUACAUCAAUGCUUAUGCCCUUACACUCCCUAAUAGAAUGGAGUGGCUAAAAGAAAGAACAUACAUUUCUUGGAAGUAGUUCAUGCCUCUCUCUUUGGCGCCAAUAUGCGUCGAUCUUUUUGGGGAGAAUCCAUCGUCUCUGUAGCAUACCUCAUCAAUCGGAUUCUCUCUAGUAUCAUAAAUUUUCAAACACCACUUCAAACACUUCACCACCAUAUCCAAAUACCAACCUGAAACCCCGGAUUUUCUGCUGUGUUGUAUUUGUCCACUUACAUGAUCACCAACGAAGCAAAUUGGAUCUUUGAGCCAAAAAGUGUGUUUUCAUUAGCUAUGUACCUCAUUAGAUAUGAUACCGGUGUUAUCAUCCUCCUAGUCAGAAUGUCUAUACCUCCAUGGAUGUUGUGUUCCGGGAACACGACUUAUAUUUUUCAGCAGCACAUGAGGAGAAUCGAGAAUCCACCACUCCUCAAAUUCUCUAUUUUUCCCCCCAAGAAGUCACUAUACUUCAAAACAACCGGUCACCCUCAUUUAGCUCUUCGAGCAUGGAGAAUUUGCUUCAAAAUGACCUGUUGUAAGAGGAAAGCGACCGGUCACCCCCUUAGUUCUUCAAACACGAAGAAUCUGCUUCAAAACUACAUGUCGCCAGAAAAUAGUGACUAGUCAUAAGAGGAAAAUGAUUAGUUGUCUCCAUGCUGUCAAACUCAGUAGGAGGAAAUUGAACCGUUUUUAAAAAAUGAGAUUUUGCCAGCUCCAAAGAAUUCUUCAACUCCAGUACCACACCAAUCACCUGUUGAGGAAGUCAAUUAGAUACCAUCUUUCCCUGAAACUGAUAACACUAAUGAAAUAUCCCACGAUGAUUUGAUUUCAGAAGGUACAAAGCCUACAUAUCAGCUUCUAGAAAGGAAGAACCGUGACAAACAUCGAAUACAAUAUGAAGCAUAUCUUAAAGCCAAAGGAAAAUACCCUAUCAAUAAUUAUAUAUCUUUUAGCAGAUUAACAGAGGCAUGUGUGCACUUUGUGAAACAGUUGACUGACAUAUCUGUCCUCAACAGUGUGACUGAAGCACUAGAAGACCCCAAAUGGAAAAAAGCCAUGAAUGAAGAAAUGCGAGCCCUCCAAAAGAAUGUCACAUGGGAACUCGUGCUCUUACAUCGUAGAAAGAAGACAGUAGGAUGCAUGUGGAUUUAUACUGUGAAAUUCAAAGCAGAUGGAUCCAUUGAAAAAUAUAAAGCUAGAUUAGUGGCAAAUGGGUACACAGAGAGAUAUGAGAUAAACUAACAGGAGACCUUUGCCCCAGUAGUCAAGAUUAGCACUAUCAAAGUCCUAUUAUCUCUAGCAGCAAAUCUCGAUUGACCAUUACAUUAGUUUGAUGUCAAAAAUGCAUUCUUACAUGGAGACUUGGAAGAAGAAGUAUAUAUGGACCUACCACCAGGAUGUAAUUUAGCUCGUGACAAGAAGAAUCAUGUUUGCAAGCUCAAAAAGUUAUUAUAUGGAUUAAAGCAAUAUCUUAGAGCAUGGUUUGACAAAUUUACUAAAUCUAUGAAGAAUUUUGGAUAUACACAGAGUAAUUCAGAUCACACCCUAUUCGUGAAGUGUGAUGGAAGAAGACUUACUGCAUUGAUUGUUUAUGUAGAUAAUAUAGUCGUAACUGGAAACGACAUCGGAGAGCAACUAAAGCUGCAAAAGUAUUUGUCUCGGGAAUUUGAGAUGAAAGAUUUAGGUGAUCUGAAGUACUUUCUUGGAAUUGAGGUAGUAAGGUCAAAUACUGGUAUAUUUCUGUCUCAAAGGAAGUAUGUAAUGGAUCUACUCACUGAAACAGGAAUGCUUGGGUGUAAGCCGGUUGACACAUCUAUUGAGAUGAAUAACAAGUUGUGUGAAGACAUGGACCAAUAACCAUCUAAUAAGGAACAGUACCAACGCUUCAUUAGAAGGUUGAUAUACCUGAUACACACAAGACAAGAUAUUGCAUAUGAUGUGAGUGUGGUUAGUCAAUUUAUGCAUUCACCCAGUGUUUUUCAUAAGAAUGCAGUUGAUCGGAUCUUAAGAUACUUAAAGUCAGCCCCUGGGAAAGGAUUAAUGUUCUCAAAAAAUGGAGAUCUUGAAGUUGUUGAAUAUACAUAUGCUGAUUGGGCUGGUUCCAUUACAGAUAGACGAUCUACUUAUGGUUACUUUACAUUCGUAGGAGGUAACCUAGUCACUUGGCGGAGUAAAAAAUAAAAUGUGGUUUCUCGGUCUAGUGUAGAAGCAGAGUAUCGAGGAAUGGCCCAAAGAGUUUGUGAAUUAUUAUGGAUUAGAAAACUCUUGACAGAAUUGGGCUUUGAGCUAGAAAAUCCACUAGAGUUGCAUUGUGACAACAAGUUAGCUAUCGAUAUUGCCCAUAAUCCAGUUCAACAUGAUUGAACCAAACAUGUUGAGGUGGAUAGACAUUUCAUCAAGGAAAAAAUUGAAAAUAAGAUCAUCAACCUACCAUUUGUAAAAUCAAAAGAUCAAUUGGCAGAUGUCUUAACAAAAGCUGUUUGUGGAAGAGUGUUUCAUGACUCAAUUACUAAGUUGGGCAUUGGUGACAUAUAUGCACCAACUUGAGGAGGAGUGUUGACGUGAGUCUCCUAAUUAAUCAAGGAGAUUUAUUUCCUUGAUUCUCAUUGAUUAAUUAAGGGAUUUACUUUCGUAUUUUAUAUAGUUAACAAAUCAUUGUAUAAUUAGGAGAUACUAUUCUAAUUGAUUAUUGUAUCUAUUUUUUUAUAAAGCACUCAUGUAAACUCCUAUAUAUAUCUCUUUAUGGACAAGAAUAAAACUUAACCUAAAGUAUUCAAACCAUAUUCAUAUUUUAGCACACUGUGAGCCUUAAUUGGCUCCGCCCACGCCCCUUUCCUUCCUAACUUUGACCCAAAAAAAAACAUACGAAUAUUAAAUUCUACGUUCUCAAAGUGGGUUAGUUCCAUGAAUCAAGUUCACUGAUAUACUCUAACUAAAUUAAGAAAUUAAAUUUGGUACGGUUUUGUUUGGGAUCCAAAAUUUAAAUUUGAUAGGUAUAGAUAGUACAUGUAUACCUACCAUGUUAACCAUUCUUAACCAAUUUAAUAAAUUUGAGGACUCAAAUUAUGAGUCUGUAUUGUAACAACCCGAUCCUAAAUUAAUAGUUAAACAUUAAAUUAUUCAAGGAAAAGACAAUUUUACCUUGGGAAUAUUGAAAUGAUUUAAGGGUUGACUUUUUAUUCGGGGGAGAUUAAAUUAUUAAAAUAAGAGAAAAUAAAUUGAAAUAAACAAUAAAAUAAAAUGAUUUGAAUUAAUUAAGGUUUUUGAAAAUUAAAGAUAUUAUUUAAUAUAAAAAGGGGUAAAAAGGUCAUUUUAAGUUCGAGAAGGAAUUUGGAAAUUCAAAUAAGACUGUUGCAUAGAGCACGUCGAGACGAGUCCUUAGACACGUAGUGGGCUUGAAUCGGAGUUGUAACGAAGAAAUGGCGAUCAAGAAUAGGCCAGUGGCAUAAUCGUAAAUAUUUCGAAGUUCAGUUUUUUAAAAACCCAGAAUUUCUUCACUUGGGCAGCCCGACCAGCCAAAUUCGGAUCGUGAUUUCUCCUAACCCCCGCCAUUGUUUCAAGCAAGACCGGUCCCAGAUGAACCACCACAUUUCUCUUUUCUAGUUCCAGCCCUUCGCCGCCUCAAUCUACCGUCGUAAUCGUCAGAAUCAGCCACGAAACAGACAGUUUUGGAUAGAUUUUUCUUAAACUUUCGCCGGCUGUUUCUCCCUCCUCUGGCCACCAAACAGGUUAAAUAAGGUAUUCUUUUCCACCUAUUUUUCGAGCUCUAGCUGAUGGUUGGGUAGGAUUUGAUCGAUUUGUAGCAUAGAUAACCCGAAAUACGAAUUGAAAUUUGGCCGAUUUUCAAAUUGAAAUUUCGGCAACUUCCGACCAUUUUUCGGGGUAGGUCCAAGAACAAAAGUGGUUCCAAAUGGGGUUUUACACCUAGGGUAGGAAUUUGGGCAGGCGUUGUGGCAUUUUUCGGCCACUGGAAUUUACUCACGACAUCCACGCGCUGCCGGCGCUUGCGGCGGCGCGUGGACCAGCCUUUGGACCGGCUUAGGGUUUCAGAAUGAUCUCCUGGUCCUCGUGAGCGUGUAGGUACUUUUGAAUUUCAAUUCAGACAACAUUUGAACACCGAAACGGAUCUCGCUUAUUGUGCGAUUUCUGGGUUUGAUACGUUUGAACCAUUGGAUCAUAGUCAAUUUCAUAUAUGUUAAUCUAGAUAAUUCCAGGAUCGAUAGGACUCGACGGAUCGUAAAAUGGAGUCCUGGAUACUCCGAAAAUGCCAACCCUAGGGCUAGGUUUAUAGUAAUUAUCCGAUUGGGCGAUCAUGGGUAACCCGACCUUUCGGUCAAGACCAAACUCUCGGGACAUGUGUCCUUGGCACAUUGGAACCUUUAGGGACUCCCGAAUUUGUGAUGGGAGGUUAUGGGCCCCGCGGGCUCGGUUGAUCAAGUUUAGGCAUUUGACCCCUCGGUUGACCAUGGGUCUUCUGAGGUAGUUUUAUCCUUCGAGAAAUGUUAGAACGACGGUGUAAACGGGUCCUGAUCGAAGACUGAGUCAUUAGGAUCAUAUCAUGGUUUUUCAAACCCACCACAAGGGUAUCCCGUAGUUGCUUUGAAAUAGUGUCAUUUAUAUAUAAUGUCCCAUGUGUUUCGGGGACUCCUGAAUUGUGUGGUGAGAGGAAUGCGGCUCAGGCUGACUAAUGGUCCCCUGAGGCUUACGAGGAUUGCACUCGAAUAGCAGUGAUAUCUCCGAGGCCUACGAGGAUUGCGGCUUGGAUAGAAGUGGUAUCUUCGAGGCCUGCAAGGAUUUGCUGCUCCGAUAGAAGUGGUAUCUCCGAGGCCUGCGAGGAUUGCGGCUCGAGUGGACUUGGUGUCUCUGAGGCCUGUGAGGAUGGAAUUGACGAAUCAGGAAUGGGGGUACGCCUAGGUGGAGAGAAUUUCAGUUUUGAGAUGUUCUUAAACUAAAAUAGAAGGAGUUCAGUGCAUGACAUAUUUAUAUUCAGUAUAUGAUUGAUACGAGUAUUGGGAAGUUACAAAGUAUUGCUUUAGAGUUGUGAAUACGAUUGAGUAUAACACACACAUGAGAAUUCAGUUUGAUUUGCAAAACACAUGGCAAUAUGAUGAAUGAAUAAGAUAUUCAAUUACAUUAUUAAAGGGAAAGAACUACCUGUGGCUUGAUCCCUCAGUAGGAGUACGUAGGCAGUCUAAUGUUAGAAGGUGCAGCCACGAGUUGGAGUCUUUGAGAUUGCUAAUGUACUAAUGGAUAUUUUGAAAGUUGAGAUGAACUUUAUUAGUAGAAUGAUUUAUUUGAUUGGUUGAGGCCAAAGGCCAGAAUGAUAUGAUAUUUGAUUUCUUGGAUAUAAUUUAAUGUUUGCUGAACAGUUGGGUUAUAUAUGUAUAUGCUUAUUUGAUAGGUGGAAGUUUUGGGGAAAUGAUCAAUUUACAGAGGAGACUUUGUCGAAUUUUCGGCAGAAGUCAAACUUAAGGAAAUUUGAUUUCUAGUUAGAAGGGCAAUUUGGUCAUUUGUGCCUGAUAUUUGUCAGGUUUCGGACACACACAGGGUUCGGCUUAGAUUCCAAAGUGAAAUUUGAGUCGGGUCCUAUCAUGUAUGGUUGGAGGAAAAAUAUUUUAAAUCCGGACAAUACAUGAAUAAUUAUAUUUUAAAGAGUGAAAAUUUGAGUUUAGUCCCAUCAUAGUUGGAGAUGACCUUACUUGUCUUCUCCGCACAUAUUGUGAAUCACAAUUUUUGUGGAAUCCCUUCUAUCAAUGGUAACACUGACAAAUCUCGAAAUACACCAACCCAGUUAUUAAACUACUCGACUAAACUGUUCGACUUCUCCCCAUAAUGCAUUCCUUUAAAAAAUGCGUUGGCAUAGUGAUCUCUAGACAAAUCAGAUAUAAAUGUCUUCACUUUCAAACUCCCGACAAUCACCAACUCAUAUAUUGCUACUUUAAACUCUUCCUCUGUAACAGCAUAUGCUCAUCUACUAAAUAGAUUGAUAACAUGGUCUUGGAGCAGUUUCCCAUAACUUGACUUCGGGUACUUUGAUAUCAAAUUUUGUUUGAGGUGAUAGUAACAGUAGGAAUGAGGCCAUCCAGGAAACACAGCCCCCAUUGCAUUUAACAAACUUUGAUUACAGCCCAAGAAAAAAGUCACCAUUCUCCCCAUCGGUGGCAAUAUAGCAACCAAAUGUUGAAGAAACCAAGUCCAACUCUCCUCUGUCUCAGAAUCAAUAACUAAAACAAAACAAAAGGCACAAGUAUAAGCAACAAACGGAAACUGCAGUGCAUUCUAUGAAAACAAAUCUUCUCAAAUUUGAAAGGAAACCAAAAGGCAAAUCCAUGAUCAAAGUACAAAAACUAAGUUCAAAAUACAUAGAAGUCCAUGAGCGGGUGUAACAUUCCCACAGACUUGCAAAUACUAUUCUGAAAUUGAAUUAUGAAACAAGAAACUACAACAAAUGGAAACCGCAGUGCAGUUUAUGAAAACAAAUCUGCUCAAGUGUGAAAAGAAAACUAAAGGAAAAGCCAUGAUCAAAGUACUAAAGCUAAGUUCAAAAGACAUUUAAGUCCAUGAGCAGUUGUAACAUUCUCAUAGACUUGCAAAAAAUUAUUCGAAAAUCGAAUUAUAAAACAAGAAACUGCACUGUAGUUUAUGCUCAAAAACUCCAACAAACGGAAUUUGCAAUGUAGUUUAUGAAUGCUCAAAGAACAAUUGACAACACACAAACAAUAUUACACAAAACAGUAAACAUAAUCUGCAAUGCAAAGUACACAAAAUGCCAGCAAUAUUACACAAAACAGUAGUGCAGAUUAAACAAAAAUCCAAUACAGUGCAAUAACUACACCUUGAUUCCCAUUCUUGCCAGAAGCACAAAAAAGAUGCCCCUUGUACUUGCUCUUAAAAAAUAUAGCAUCAGUGAACAACAAAGGGAUGCAAUAUUGAAAUCUAGCAAUUAAAUAGCCAAAUGAUACAAAAAAUGGGCUAAAUCGAUUAAUUCCAUCUUCACUCGCAUAGAGAACCACCGUUAGUUUCCUUAAAGGCAUCCAUGUACCACACUAACUCGUUGAAGGACUUCGACUCAUCACCAUGAACGUCCAGUUUUGCUAACUCUUAGAUACUGUAAUAAUCUUUGAACUCGUUUAUAGUCUCAACUAGUUCAGCUCUAGUUUUGCAUGAAUUAUGUCAACAAAGAGAGAGGACUCCACAUGAGACCUCAUCAUCUUAUUCUUUGAUUCUUGUAUCUGACCCGCACAUGUAUGCACAUUAUUUAAUGUCCGAAUUACAAAACAACCAGUAGCUUCACACCAAGACGCAUAAACAUGCCAACUACAACCCUCCAACUUCUUAUUUCAACAAACAUCAAUCACUUGCCUCUUGUCAUUGCCGGCAUAGAAAAAAUUAAAUCCUACUUCAAGAGCAUACUUGCACAAUUUUAACCGGAAGUCCUCUACACCACCAUCAAACUUCUGCCCUACAUGAUGUAUGUAGUCUCCCAUUCAUUUGACAACAAAGGCUUAGAACUGGCUCUCUUUGAUCUACCCAAAAAUUCAUUUCUGUCUUCAACAGUAUUAGAACACGAUGACUCACCCUUUUCACAUGCUAUCAACUCCUUAUUUCCACAAAAAUCACCAUUAUCCUCACUGCUCCCGCAUAAAUCCUUAACUAAAAUAUCCACACUCUUCGCAUUUGAUAUCGCCAAAUAUGCCAUCAUCAUGUCUAAAUCACUAUUCGUUUCUGGUAAACAACUCGAAUAACCGAGCAGCAAAUACCGUAACGUGAAAAUACCAUAACCAUGGAUGACUUUGCUGAAACUGAAAACAUAAUGGUUUCCAACUUCUAUGUGCACUUGGCUAUGCCACAAACCUCCAUUAGCCUUGAAAAUGCAAACAAAACAACAAACAAAAACAUAAAACAAUUUAAAUCAGUAAAUAACAUAGAUGAGCAAUUUUAACAUUCCCAUAGACUUGCAAAUAUUAGUCUGAAAUCGAAUUAUGAAACAAGACACUGCAAUGCAGUUUCUAGUAAAAAACUGCAACAAAUGGAAAUUGUAGUGAAGUUUAUGACAACAAAUCUGCUCAAGUAUAAAAAGAAACCAAAAGGCAAAGCCAUGAUAAAAGUACUAAAGCUAAGUUCAAAACACAAUUAAGUCCAUAAACAGUUGUAACAUUCUCACAGACUAGCAAAAAUUAUUUUGAAAUCGAAAUAUGGAAUAGGAAAAUACACUGCAGUUUCUGAUAAAAAAAAUGAAAUAAACGGAAACUGCAGUGCAGCUUAUGGGAAAACAUAUGCUCAAAUUUGAAUAAAAAUCAAAAGGAAAAUCCAUGAUAAAAGUACUAAAACUAAGUUCAAAACACAUUGAAGUCCAUAAGCAAUUGUAACAUUCCCAUAUACUUGCAAUGCAGUUUAUAAAACAAGAAACUCAAAAAUUGCAACAAACAGAAACGGCAAUGUAGUUUAUGGUAGAAAAUCAAAAAACUUCGAAUAGAAACCAGAAAGAAAAGCCACGAUCAAAGUACUAAAACUAAAUUCCGAAAACAUAUAAGUCGAUAUAAAUGAAAAAAGGUUCUCAAGUACUCAUACCUCAACACCUAGGACUGCCAAAAAUCUCCCCAACCAAAUAGCUGCUCAAAAUCAAAUCUGAUCACAAAACGAAGAAGAUACAAAAUGGCAUGCACAAAAUCGCGCCACAAAACUGAGCUCGAAAUAGGAGAACUAAGAUCGAACCAGAGCACAGAAAUCACACGCCAAAACAAACCUUGAUUCUGCAUGCAAAAGAAAAAUUACACCCAAAACAUAAAGAUCAAUCUAAAUAGCACAAAACAUAAUCAGAAUAAAACAGAAAAAUGAAGAAAAUCGAACAAAAACCUACCAGCAAAUUGAAGCUCCAAUCGCAGCUAAACGAACUAGAGCUCCAAAACGUCAAACUGAACGAAAACGAAAGAGAAAAGUUCAAAUCACGCGUAAUUUAAAUAGACAGGUGUAAAAAAGUCAUUUACUUUGCAAGUUUCAGAGUUAGGCCAGGCUUUUUAAGAAGAAAGGUAGCAUUGUCUUUUCAGUUAUUAUUUUAAGCUGGCCCAACGAAUCUGGACCUCAUCUUUGGCCUAGUCCAAAAUAACAAUUCUUUCCUAGGUAUUAACCUAAACAAAAAUACCCAAUAUCUCAAAUACUAAUUAGUAAAGUUACUUAUGUCUAAUACCUCAUUUUUCUUAAAAUAAAAUAAGUAGUUUGAUGUGUCUAGUUUUUGCUCACCAUUCGUUAUAUCAACUACAAAUAGCCUUAAUGCUUAACAAUUGAAAAACAUUGACAAUAUAUAUAUAUAUAUAUAUCAAUAAAAUAAUGAAAAAAAGAUUGGGGAUAAUUAUUGGAUAAAGUAAAAGUUGAAUGGGAGUAUUUUUGCUCAUCACUUUAACUCAGUUGUAAUCUUAUCAUCCUUCUCAACACUUGACACGUGUCUAUUAACAUAGCCAUGGUUCCAUAAAUACAAAGUAAAGAGUUAACUAUGGUUAUGCCAAUAGACAUGUGUCAAGCGUUGAGAAGGUUGGUGAAGGUACACUUUAAGUUAAAGUGAUAAGGAAAAAGCAUUUUGAGUCCGAGCAAUACAUGAAUAGUUGUAUUUUAGAGAGUAGAAAUUUGAGUUUAGCCCCCAUCAUGGUCGGAGAUGACCUUACUUGUCUUCUCCGCACAUAUUGUGAUCAUUAAUAAAUGUGUUUCAUGUGUUUCGUGAGUUUCAUGAUGAGCAAGCACCUGCUACCACUUAAAGUUAUAAUAUAAAAUAUCAGGCAAUUUUACUGUAAUGACUUGUAUUUAAGGAGAAGCCAAGUUAUACGUUGUUUAACAUUCUGCCUUAUACAUAUCAAAUUUCAAAACUGAUAAGCAUAAGCAUGGCUCUGCACGGUUUUAUUGGGACUCAAAUAGAGCUCAAGUCACCUGCUGAUAAGUUCUACAAAAUCUUCAAGGGUCAAGCCCACCUCAUCCCAAAUGUUUCUUCUGGCCAUAUCAAAGGUGUUCAGGUGCAUGAAGGAGAUUGGGAAACGCACGGCUCUGUUAAGAUCUGGAAUUAUCAUCUAGGUAAUUAAGUAACUAUAUGGUGAACCCACUUUGGACAAGUUUAAUU
RNAcentral lists this long non-coding RNA (21319 nucleotides) under Prunus persica (peach). RNAcentral's name for it is "long non-coding RNA (PPER_LNC001365)". Lineage: Eukaryota; Viridiplantae; Streptophyta; Magnoliopsida; Rosales; Rosaceae. The record is from RNAcentral.